Molecule: ribosomal RNA, 240 nt
Filed under: Triticum aestivum (bread wheat)
Lineage: Eukaryota; Viridiplantae; Streptophyta; Magnoliopsida; Poales; Poaceae
Description: partial small subunit ribosomal RNA
Source: RNAcentral
AUGAAUUGCAUAAGUUGGAACUGUCGGGGUGCGGCCAACAAACUGACAGUUCGAGAUCUGGUGGGCCUUACCAGGACCACCCAAGCAAAAUUGGUCUUCCUUAGUGAAACAAGAAUAAAGACUGAAAAGGUUCGUCGUUUGCGAGGUAGAUUAGGCUUAAGAGGUUUUGCCAGUAUUGAUAGUAACGGCCUGAGUGGAGGUUUAGCACUCUUUUGGUCUGAUGAUAUUUUUGUGGAUGUU